GAUUAGUGGCGAACGGGUGAGUAACACGUGAGUAACCUGCCCCUUACUUUCCUGGAUAACUGCUCGAAAGGGUAGCUAAUACGGGAUAUUCUGACCGGCCUGCAUGGGUUGGUUUGGAAAGGUUUAUUUUCUGGUAAGGGAUGGGCUCGCGGCCUAUCAGCUUGUUGGUGGGGUGAUGGCCUACCAAGGCUUUGACGGGUAGCCGGCCUGAGAGGGUGGACGGUCACACUGGGACUGAGAUACGGCCCAGACUCCUACGGGAGGCAGCAGUGGGGAAUAUUGCACAAUGGGCGCAAGCCUGAUGCAGCGACGCCGCGUGAGGGAUGAAGGCCUUCGGGUUGUAAACCUCUUUCGUCAGGGAACAAGGCACUGCUUUUUUGGUGGUGUUGAGGGUACCUGGAUAAGAAGCGCCGGCUAACUACGUGCCAGCAGCCGCGGUAAUACGUAGGGCGCAAGCGUUGUCCGGAAUUAUUGGGCGUAAAGAGCUCGUAGGCGGCUGGUCGCGUCUGUCGUGAAAACUUCCGGCUCAACCGGGGGCUUGCGGUGGGUACGGGCCGGCUAGAGUGCGGUAGGGGUAACUGGAACUCCUGGUGUAGCGGUGGAAUGCGCAGAUAUCAGGAAGAACACCGAUGGCGAAGGCA
RNAcentral lists this ribosomal RNA (641 nucleotides) under uncultured Actinomycetes bacterium. Its description in RNAcentral is "bacterial SSU rRNA". It matches the Rfam family "Bacterial small subunit ribosomal RNA", at positions 90 to 723 of the family's 1533-position model. The record is from RNAcentral. Lineage: Bacteria; Bacillati; Actinomycetota; Actinomycetes.